RNAcentral lists this ribosomal RNA (453 nucleotides) under uncultured Pseudomonas sp. RNAcentral describes it as "bacterial SSU rRNA". It matches the Rfam family "Bacterial small subunit ribosomal RNA", at positions 931 to 1382 of the family's 1533-position model. Lineage: Bacteria; Pseudomonadati; Pseudomonadota; Gammaproteobacteria; Pseudomonadales; Pseudomonadaceae. The record is from RNAcentral.
GGUGGAGCAUGUGGUUUAAUUCGAAGCAACGCGAAGAACCUUACCAGGCCUUGACAUGCAGAGAACUUUCCAGAGAUGGAUUGGUGCCUUCGGGAACUCUGACACAGGUGCUGCAUGGCUGUCGUCAGCUCGUGUCGUGAGAUGUUGGGUUAAGUCCCGUAACGAGCGCAACCCCUGUCCUUAGUUACCAGCACGUUAUGGUGGGCACUCUAAGGAGACUGCCGGUGACAAACCGGAGGAAGGUGGGGAGUGACGUCAAGUCAUCAUGGCCCUUACGGCCUGGGCUACACACGUGCUACAAUGGUCGGUACAAAGGGUUGCCAAGCCGCGAGGUGGAGCUAAUCCCAUAAAACCGAUCGUAGUCCGGAUCGCAGUCUGCAACUCGACUGCGUGAAGUCGGAAUCGCUAGUAAUCGUGAAUCAGAAUGUCACGGUGAAUACGUUCCCGGGCCUU